This 496-nucleotide ribosomal RNA is filed under the name uncultured bacterium. RNAcentral's name for it is "partial 16S ribosomal RNA". It matches the Rfam family "Bacterial small subunit ribosomal RNA", at positions 28 to 507 of the family's 1533-position model. The record is from RNAcentral.
GAUGAACGCUGGCGGCGUGCCUAAUACAUGCAAGUCGAGCGAACAGACGAGGAGCUUGCUCCUCUGACGUUAGCGGCGGACGGGUGAGUAACACGUGGAUAACCUACCUAUAAGACUGGGAUACUUCGGGAAACCGGAGCUAAUACCGGAUAACAUGUUGAACCGCAUGGUUCAACAGUGAAAGACGGUCUUGCUGUCACUUAUAGAUGGAUCCGCGCCGCAUUAGCUAGUUGGUAAGGUAACGGCUUACCAAGGCAACGAUGCGUAGCCGACCUGAGAGGGUGAUCGGCCACACUGGAACUGAGACACGGUCCAGACUCCUACGGGAGGCAGCAGUAGGGAAUCUUCCGCAAUGGGCGAAAGCCUGACGGAGCAACGCCGCGUGAGUGAAGAAGGUCUUCGGAUCGUAAAACUCUGUUAUUAGGGAAGAACAAAUGUGUAAGUAACUAUGCACGUCUUGACGGUACCUAAUCAGAAAGCCACGGCUAACUACGUG